This 696-nucleotide ribosomal RNA is filed under the name uncultured bacterium. RNAcentral describes it as "bacterial SSU rRNA". It matches the Rfam family "Bacterial small subunit ribosomal RNA", at positions 32 to 715 of the family's 1533-position model. The record is from RNAcentral.
AACGCUAGCUACAGGCUUAACACAUGCAAGUCGGGGGGAAACGAUAUUGGAAGCUUGCUUCCGAUAGGCGUCGACCGGCGCACGGGUGAGUAACGCGUAUCCAACCUGCCCAUCACUUGGGAAUAACCUUGCGAAAGUAAGACUAAUGCCCAAUGACAUUUAUAGAAGGCAUCCGAAAUGAAUUAAAGAUUUAUCGGUGAUGGAUGGGGAUGCGUCUGAUUAGCUUGUUGGCGGGGUAACGGCCCACCAAGGCUACGAUCAGUAGGGGUUCUGAGAGGAAGGUCCCCCACAUUGGAACUGAGAUACGGUCCAAACUCCUACGGGAGGCAGCAGUGAGGAAUAUUGGUCAAUGGGCGAGAGCCUGAACCAGCCAAGUAGCGUGCAGGAUGACGGCCCUAUGGGUUGUAAACUGCUUUUAUAGGGGAAUAAAGUGAGCUACGUGUAGUUUUUUGCAUGUACCCUAUGAAUAAGGACCGGCUAAUUCCGUGCCAGCAGCCGCGGUAAUACGGAAGGUCCGGGCGUUAUCCGGAUUUAUUGGGUUUAAAGGGAGCGUAGGCCGGAGAUUAAGCGUGUUGUGAAAUGUAGAUGCUCAACAUCUGAACUGCAGCGCGAACUGGUUUCCUUGAGUACGCAUAAAGUGGGCGGAAUUCGUGGUGUAGCGGUGAAAUGCUUAGAUAUCACGAAGAACUCCGAUUG